GUAGGUGGCAAGCGUUGUCCGGAAUUAUUGGGCGUAAAGGGCUCGCAGGCGGUUUCUUAAGUCUGAUGUGAAAGCCCCCGGGCUCAACCGGGGGAGGGUCAUUGGAAACUGGGGAACUUGAGUGCAGAAGAGGAGAGUGGAAUUCCACGUGUAGCGGUGAAAUGCGUAGAGAUGUGGAGGAACACCAGUGGCGAAGGCGACUCUCUGGUCUGUAACUGACGCUGAGGAGCGAAAGCGUGGGGAGCGAACAGGAUUAGAUACCCUGGUAGUCCACGCCGUAAACGAUGAGUGCUAAGUGUUAGGGGUUUCCGCCCCUUAGUGCUGCAGCUAACGCAUUAAGCACUCCGCCUGGGGAGUACGGUCGCAAAGACUG
Molecule: ribosomal RNA, 373 nt
Filed under: uncultured organism
Description: partial 16S ribosomal RNA
Rfam family: Bacterial small subunit ribosomal RNA
Source: RNAcentral